UGUUUAAAAAAGGUAUAAAACACUACGUUCUUGAUCAUAGAAAAGGGGUUCGAUUCCCCUAGGGACCGCCA
RNAcentral lists this transfer RNA (71 nucleotides) under Candidatus Pelagibacter sp. Its description in RNAcentral is "tRNA-Lys". The record is from RNAcentral. Lineage: Bacteria; Pseudomonadati; Pseudomonadota; Alphaproteobacteria; Candidatus Pelagibacterales; Candidatus Pelagibacteraceae.